CGCGGCCUAUCAGCUUGUUGGUGUGGUAACGGCGCACCAAGGCGACGACGGGUAGCGGGCCUGAGAGGGUGGCCCGUCACACUGGGACUGAGACACUGCCCAGACUCAUACGGGAGGCUGCAGUCGAGAAUCUUCCGCAAUGGGCGCAAGCCUGACGGAGCGACGCCGCGUGUAGGACGAAGGCCCUAGGGUUGUAAACUACUGUCACGAAUCAUGAAAGCUGCGUAGUUAAUAGCUGCGUAGUUGACGUCAGUUCGGAAGGAAGCACCGGCUAACUCUGUGCCAGCAGCCGCGGUAAUACAGAGGGUGCAAACGUUGUUCGGAAUUACUGGGCAUAAAGCGCACGUAGGCGGCGCAUCAAGUGCAUGGUGAAAUCCCACGGCUUACCCGUGGAACUGCUGUGCAUACUGGUGUGCUCGAGGACGGUAGGGGAGAGCGGAACUCUUGGUGGAGCGGUGAAAUGCGUAGAUAUCAAGAGGAACACCGAAGGCGAAGGCAGCACUCUGGUCCGUUUCUGACGCUGAGGUACGAAAGCCAGGGUAGCGAACGGGAUUAGAUACCCCGGUAGUCCUGGCCGUAAACGAUGGGUACUAGUUACUGGUCCUUCCUGUGGGAUCAGUGGAGAGGCAAAUGUGAUAAGUACCCCGCCUGGGGAGUACGG
RNAcentral lists this ribosomal RNA (661 nucleotides) under uncultured bacterium. RNAcentral describes it as "bacterial SSU rRNA". It matches the Rfam family "Bacterial small subunit ribosomal RNA", at positions 232 to 885 of the family's 1533-position model. The record is from RNAcentral.